This 405-nucleotide ribosomal RNA is filed under the name uncultured bacterium. Its description in RNAcentral is "partial 16S ribosomal RNA". It matches the Rfam family "Bacterial small subunit ribosomal RNA", at positions 30 to 526 of the family's 1533-position model. The record is from RNAcentral.
AUUGAACGCUAGCGGGAUGCUUUAAACAUGCAAGUCGAACGAGUGGCGGACGGGUGAGUAAUAUAUCGGAACGUGCCCAGUAGCGGGGGAUAACUACUCGAAAGAGUGGCUAAUCCCGCAUACUAUUUGAGCGCCCGAUAUCGGAUUAGCUAGUUGGUGGGGUAAAGGCUCACCAAGUCAACGAUCCGUCGCUGGUUUGAGAGGACGACCAGCCACACUGGGACUGAGACACGGCCCAGACUCCUACGGGAGGCAGCAGUGGGGAAUGUUGGACAAUGGGGGAAACCCUGAUCCAGCCAUCCCGCGUGUAUGAGAAGGCCUUCGGGUUGUAAAGUACUUUUGGCAGAGAAGCGGUAUCUGCAGAAUAAGCACCGGCUAACUACGUGCCAGCAGCCGCGGUAAUUC